Molecule: ribosomal RNA, 433 nt
Filed under: uncultured bacterium
Lineage: Bacteria
Description: partial 16S ribosomal RNA
Rfam family: Bacterial small subunit ribosomal RNA
Source: RNAcentral
AACGAACGCUGGCGGCAUGCCUAGCACAUGCAAGUCGAACGAGACCUUCGGGUCUAGUGGCGCACGGGUGCGUAACGCGUGGGAACCUGCCCUUAGGUUCGGAAUAACUCCCCGAAAGGGGUGCUAAUACCGGAUAAUGUCUUCGGACCAAAGAUUUAUCGCCUUUGGAUGGGCCCGCGUUGGAUUAGCUAGUUGGUAGGGUAAAAGCCUACCAAGGCGACGAUCCAUAGCUGGUCUGAGAGGAUGAUCAGCCACACUGGGACUGAGACACGGCCCAGACUCCUACGGGAGGCAGCAGUGGGGAAUAUUGGACAAUGGGCGAAAGCCUGAUCCAGCGAUGCCGCGUGAAUGAUGAAGGCCUUAGGGUUGUAAAGCUCUUUUACCCGGGAUGAUAAUGACAGUACCGGGAGAAUCAGCUCCGGCUAACUCCGUG